Long non-coding RNA from Lepidothrix coronata (blue-crowned manakin), 396 nucleotides. RefSeq lists it as uncharacterized. The record is from RefSeq and is a predicted model, not a curated record. The transcript is spliced from 4 exons. Lineage: Eukaryota; Metazoa; Chordata; Aves; Passeriformes; Pipridae.
UGUAGUUCAUGGUGUUUGGUGUGUGGGGUUGAAGAAAAGGAGACAAGAUGUGACAUUGUUUUGGGCAAGGAAAAGCAACACAAGAAAGAGGAUGCAGAAAAAAACUUUGCACCUUUCCCCCUGUAUCUUGGGAACAUGGAAACUGCGAGACUGGACCCAAUUCAGAAUGCCAGUGAGUAUGGGAAAAGAGUUUGAUUUUGAGAGAAGAAAAAUAGUAAUUCUCAUCCACUGUCAUGGAGUAAACAAUACGACGCACAACAUGCAGAUGCACAGCAGGACAAUAACAUGAUCAGCUGGGAUUCAAAUUUACAGGAAAAGAAGACACAAAAGAAGAGAAAAACUUUUAUGAAUAUGAGCUGAGAUUGGCAAGUCCAUUUUUCUCCUGAUUCCCAUAAU